GCCAGCAUGGUGUAGUGGCUUGAGCACUGGACUAUGACUCUAGAGACCAGGGUUUAAAUCCCCUGCUUGGCC
Molecule: transfer RNA, 72 nt
Filed under: Phrynosoma platyrhinos (Desert horned lizard)
Lineage: Eukaryota; Metazoa; Chordata; Lepidosauria; Squamata; Phrynosomatidae
Description: tRNA-OTHER
Source: RNAcentral